RNAcentral lists this long non-coding RNA (15716 nucleotides) under Gallus gallus (chicken). Its description in RNAcentral is "lncRNA (ENSGALG00010016272.1)". The record is from RNAcentral. Lineage: Eukaryota; Metazoa; Chordata; Aves; Galliformes; Phasianidae.
UGGAUUUCUUGUUUUGAUUUUUUUUUAUUCAUUUCUAUUGGACGCCAUCCAAAAAUACUAGAAGAAUGACAUUUAGUCUCUUAGCCACAUUCAAAGGUGUUUAGUGUAAAUUUCUGGGAGUAAGAUCAAUGUCAGAACCAACCAACACAGAUAGUAGCAUUGUGAAUAAGCUGAAAACAUGACACUCGGGGUUUUGAAAAUAUUUUUUCCUGCAACAGAGACAUGUAAUUGCUGUAUGUACAUACUACUCCUUUCUGAUGUCAGUAGCUGUUGCUUUGAGAUGCCAAAAUUUGUCCGCAUUUUCUAGCUGAAAAAUAAAGAAUGGAAACCCAAUGCUGCUUGAUGUGAGUAGGUGCAAUUUGUACUAGAAAAAGCUCGAAGUUAUGAGAUUGGUAGGUAAGGGCCAGGUACUCAUGUUCAGAUGCUCAGCUCCAUGCUAAACAAAAGCUUCAAGUUUUCAAAAAAACAAAACAAAACAAACAACAAUACACCAACAAAAAAAAAAAAAACAGUCUUAUCUAUUUAGGCUAACUCCUAAAAACAAAAUUUUAAACAGCAAAUUUCAGCUUAUUCUUCAAUAUAUGAGAAUUGCUCUGAAGGUAAUGACUCCUAUCUUAUGAUGUUGGCCCACAAUGGAAAAAAAAAAAAAAAAAAAAAAAGGCAUCCACUGACAUUUGCUGAUGCUUACUGAAUGUUUAUGGUGGCCAAACAAUGGUGGUGCGGUGGUGCAUUUUAGCAGUGGCAACAGCAACAUGAAAGAUAAGCCACGUUCCAGUUACAUGGAUUUUCACAAGCACAGCAUCCAGACUCUUGUUCAUUACUGGCAAAAAUGCAUAGCUUACAGUGGUAUCUAUUUUGAGAAAUAGUGUUUUAUAGCUGAGAAUUUUCUCUACUGAAUAGUUUUACUGUGCUCUUUGUAUCUGUUGUAGUUUCCAUGGAAAUAAAUAGGAGGCAUUACUUGUGGAGUGUCCUACGUACAUACACCAUUUAAAUUAGAAAUACAGAAAAAAAAACCAACAGAUAAUUCAGUUUCAGGAUAACCACACUUUGCCAUUGUGGUUAUUACAAUUCAGAAAUAAUUGUGCUUGCUUUUGUCUGCCCCUUCACCCCUUUCAGCUGUGUCUUCUAUGACCACUCAAUUUGAAAAUGCUACAUUCUGGUACAUUAUCUGAGGAACAAAAAUACUUUAUCUGGGCUUACUGCUUUUAUUCAACACCCAGAACAAUCUAUGUCUAUUCCUUUAAGCUCCUUGGGAUGUGAAAAAAUAUGGUUACAUAAAUCUUUGUAAUCCUGAGGGGAGGAUAGCAUAUAAAGAGUUUACUGGCGUUAGGAUUAAGUCUAGUGUAUUACAAUGCAAUCUUUAAUCUGCUAAAAUCUACCUUGGUGUUGCAAGCUGUUUUGUGCUUGUAGAUGAAGUUUUGGAAAUAGGACACAGCUGGCAACACUGAUAGAACACCUUAAAAAAGGAAGAAAAGAAAGAAAAAAGACAAAAUUGGUGAAUCUACUAAUGAACAGAUUUGCCACUGCUCCUUGUACAGUGGACUCUUAUGAGUCUAAAAAAUGACAGAUGAUGGAGGAAAUCCUUGUAACUGAAGCUAGGAAGAAACAGUCACUAAAGUUGAAAACACCGCCAUAGUCACCACAGAAAAUCACAAAUGUGAAGCAAAACCCAUGUAACAUUGCCGUGCAAGCUGCAAGAGUCUUACUUGGUUUUGAGAUUCAUCAAUCCAAAUGAAUGUAACAAAUGAGUCUUAGGUACCUAAGAAAAAUGAAAAAUUCCUCAUGCUGAAAGAGACUUUGUUCUCUUUUGAUAAAUCUGUAUGAAAUGAUAACAUUGUUGCAGUCAUGUGCUACUUCAGAGAAAAAAAAUGGGGAAAAUGGCUAUUUUUAGGCAUUUUUCUAAAGAACACCACAGUUCUACUAUUUGAACUUGUCUAUUCCCAGUCAAACAUUUUCCUGUCAAGCUACACAUGACUUCUGAGUUUAAAGAUUCAAAACCAAUGUAGAUGAGCAAUUAAUGCAUAGGCCUAACUGGGAGAGAGGCUGGGGCACAGGUUUCUAGCUCUGCAGCCUUGGCUAAAGCAUUUUUUGGGCACAGCUAUGUGCUCAGGAAAGAAAACAAAAUAUAAAGAUUUGCUUAAGAGCUACUGUGACCUAUGACAGUUAAAUAUCAGAUUAAAUGAAAAUCUAAUUAGGGCCUUAGGUAUUAAAUACAGUUGACCAAGGGAAGCCAAUUGAUGUUGUCUAUUUUGGAUUUGCGUAAAGCUUCAGAUACUCUUUCUCUCAGUAUCCUUCUGGUCAAAAUGUCCAGCACACAGCUAGACAAAAAAACAUAAAGCAAUGGAUGAGCAACUGGCUGAUGGUAUGGGUUGAAGAGUUAUGUAUAAUAAGCUACAGUAAAUGGGUUUACAUCAGGCUAGCCAGCCACUAGUGGGGUUCCUCAGGGCUCCAUUAUAGGGCCACUUCGCUUUAAUGUUUCCAUAAAUGACUUGGAUGUAGGACUAGAAGGUGUUUUGAGCAAGUUUGCUGGUGACACUAAAUUGAGAGGAGCUGCUCACUCCAUCACAGGUGGCAAGGCCUUGCAGAGAGGUCUAGACAAAUGAGAGAGCUGUGCAGCCACCAACUGCAUGAAGAGCAAGUGCCAGAUUCUGCACUUGGGAAGGGGCAAACCUGGCUAUACAUACAAACUGGGGGAUGAGAUGGUGAAGAGCAGACCAGCUGAAAUCUGUUCUGGUCAUGGUUGACAGCAAGUUUAGCAUCAGUCAGCAGUGUGCCCAGGUGGACAGGAAGGCCAAUUGUAUCCUGGGAUGCAUCAAGCAUGGUCAAGGGAAUGGAUUGCCCCACUCUACAUGGCCCUGGUGCAGCCUCACCUUGAAUACUGGGUGCAGUUUGAGGCACUACACCACAAAAAGGACAUAAAACUAAUAAAAAGUACCCAAAGGAGGGCUAAAAAUAUGGUGACAAGUCUAGAUGGGAAGAGAUAUGAGGAGCAGCUGAAGUCCCCCGGUUUGUUCAGCCCAGAGUAGAGAAUGAGGAGAAACCUCAUUGCAGCCUAUUGCUUCCUCACAAGGGGGAAUGGAAGAGCAGGUGCUAAUCUCUGCUCUCUGGUGACAGGAACAGGACCAGAGGGAGUAGCACGGAGCUACAUCAGGGAAAGGUCAGAUUGAUUGUCAAGAAAAUGUUCUUCAACAAGAGGUUAACAGGCACUGGAAAAGGCUCCCCAUGGAAGUGUAAUGACAUUGAGUUUGCCAGAGUUCAGUAAGCAUCUGGAAAAUGCUCUCAGUCCUAUGAUCUGAUUUUUGGGUAGUCCUCUGUGAAUCCAGGGGUUGGACUCAAUGAUCAUUAUGGGUCUCUUCCAACUUGGGAUAUUCUGUGAUUCUAUACUGUAUCUGAAAAAAGAGAGUUCAUGUGGGCCUUUUCCAUAGCUGAGAGCCCUAUAGGAACCUCACAUAGUGCAUCAAAAAAUAAAUAAUUAAGGUUUUCCCUUAAGCUCUUAAGUGAUAUUCAAAUUCUGAAACUGAAAACUACUGUUUCGAACAAUUCAAAGUCUGAACAAAUUAUUAGACAUCAGCAUAAAAUUCUGUACUUUCCUGGAAUGCUGCCAGGGUGUUGAGUUUUUUUUUUACUUUUUGUUUUGUUUAAUGGAGAUGCAUAUUUUUCUACAGCUAGGGUUGUUCCAUCUGCCCUUGUCAAGCUUCAAAUAUACUAGAGCUCGUUAGAGCUAAAUAUAAGCCUUAAUACACAGACUUAUGUUUAUCUUAUAAAAUUAUGCAAAUUAUCCUGCACAUAAACUGAUAUUUAUCAGUAUUUCUGUUAGAUAAGUUAAGCUUUAAGCAAAAUAGUUCCAGUCUUAGAAGGAAGCUUUAGCAGAAAGGAGUCGUGAGACUUCAGAAUCUACAAGAUUGUAAAGUAGUAGCUUUUCCUUCUUAUUUACUAGUUUGCAUUUCCAAAGCACUACACAAUCGUGAACAAAUUAAUCUAAGGCAUUACAGUGAAUUUUACAGAUAAGGACAUUAAAAGCCUUUAGCAAAUGUUUAAUUGAAAUAACUGCCAUACGUUAAUUCCAAGAAACUUGUUUCAGUAUCAGAAAGAUUUAGCAAACAUCUAGUGAGAGUGAACUCAAUAUGCCCCAGUGCAGAGAAUCUCACAUGCACUACUCUUCUCCCUCAGCUAGAAAGAACUGCUUUGAAAUGACAUCUUAAGAGUAAAUGAGGAGCACACUAAGAAUGGAAAGAAAUUAAUAAUACACAAGCCUAUGGAAUAGACAGAGCAUGUGCAGAAACCAUAUUCUUUAUGGCUGCCCCUUAGGCAACAGCACAGCUUUGCAUGGAGAAAAAGCUUUCACUUCGUCCUCACAGUAGUUCUGAAUCUAACUUCCAAAUCAAAGGAUUUGUACUCCUUUAAGCAAGAGUGACUGUCACCCCCUCCAGAAUGGUAAGUUAAUUCUAAUCACUCAGUAAAAUCUGGCAGAGGAUAGCCUGUGGUGAACUCAAAGGUUUUCUCACAGAACUGUGUUUUAAUGUAAAGCAUCACCGCUUCUGCAUUCUGUCAUCUGCCAAUGGGAAUCCAAUUGCUUCAGGAUCCCUACUAAACACCACUGUCAUAAAAUAAACUUUUAUAUUAAACUUCUGUUCCUGUGCAGUCAUUUUUGUACAAAGUGUCUGGCAUUUAACCAAUUGGUCUUUUCCUGGGUAAAGGUCAUAGAGAAAGAAGGAGGAUGUGAUCCUUCACAUCCAAUUAUCCACAUCUCGAGACAUGUUAUACUGGAAGAUUUUUGCCACAUCUCAUCUAUUAGGAUAACCCUUUCCCUAGCACAAUACAAAACUGUUGUGUUUCUGGAACUGAUAUCCAAUAGUGAUUUCAGUAGAGAAGAGUUGAUGGAAAAAAAAUUAAAUCUACUAGGAAAAAUAGGUCUUCACAUUUCACAAUAACAUGCAUAUUGCUUAUUAGCAGGCAUUUAGGUCAUAUAUGCACAGAGAGUCUAGCAGUCCAGCCGUGUGACUAUCCAGCCAGAAGCACACCAUCAGUUGGGUGGGCAGACACAAGAACGCUUGCACAUCCUCUGUCAGCCUGGUUUGUUUCCAUAGAUGACUUUUUAAGAAAUGUCUCUUAACUGAUACUUUUGGCUUCCUAUGCAUGACAAGGUUAUGUUUGAUAAGUGCAUAAAUACACUACGGUAUUUUAGAUUUCUUGCUUACCCAGUUUUGGGGGACAAAAGAUCUUUGAGUAAAAAAGAAUCUGGGAUAUUUUGAGAAUAUUCUCCAAGGGGGAGAAAAAGGAAGGCAGGUGGCAGAGUGAGAGCUAGAAAGGAGAGAGCAGAAGGGUGAAUAAUAUUAUAUUACUAAUGAAUGAUGGCCUGCUGGUGUGAACUUGAAGUGUUUUAAGAUCCACCCCAUCAAAGCUGAGAUUACCUGAAAAAUAUUUUCCUGAAUCUCUAAAAUAUUCUCAAAGUUUUGUAUUUGCCUCUCAUUCUUCAGGGUAACAUCCUCAAUUUUGGAUUAAAAGUAAAGUAUUUAAUCCUGGAACUGUUGUUUAUUCAGGCAACAAGCUGAAUUUCAGUCUUAUAUUGGUUCUUCUUAAAUAAACAUAGAUGUAUACCUGGAAUACUGAAGAUAUAUCUUGCAAAACAAUGAAUGAUAAUAAACAAUGAUAUGCUAUGAUGAUAAACAGUGAAACUGCUUAGAUAGUAAAUAGGUGGCAUUCCUAAAAGAAGUAAAGCUAGACAUGGACCAGCUUUUGCUUCUUCCUAUAUAUCUGCCCUUAAUAUUUGUGGACUUUUUGUUAUACGUGAAUUUAAUGAGUGUCAUUCUGCACAUUUACUAAGUAAGGCAACAGGCACUGUGCAUAUUGGUCUGUGCUCAGAUAAAAUUUCAGUUAAAACAUAUAUAUGAAUAACCAAAUAUACUCACUACAAGAGCACAUUAAAAAAUGGAAAACAAAAAAACACUCUGUUGAAUACUGUCUGGCUCUGUUUUGUGAAGGCCUUCCCAAAUCCUCUCCUAUCUUCACAAAAUCAGGAUAGCAUAUUCUCUUAUGUCUUAGCAAAAUAAAAAUGAUACCUGGCAUUUCAUCUGCUUAGUUGGCUCUGCUGUUAAGGGAUUUAAUUCCUCUCAGCAGAUAUACAAAUGAGAACAUUUGUCUUAGUCCUAGAGACAGAAUCAUUUAUGUUACACUGCUUCGCAUUAUGUUAAUAAUUUCUAUCCUAAGUGAAGUCACAGGAAGUGUUUGUCACUAUCUCCAAUGGGACUCAAAUUUAUUUGAUGUAUGUUUAGUAUAUAUAAAGUUCAGUCAUUUCACUAGAGUUCUUAAAUUCAUAAUGGAUAACAUUUUUCUCCAAUGCUUUUUUGAAAGGAGGAAAAAAAUUGCAUGCGUGCAUAUUCAUAAAAUACUACCACAGAAGAAUUAGAAUUGUGUACAAUUUGAAAGAGUGCUGAAUUACAGGUGGGGUUAAAACAACUUCACAUUAGUGAAAUAUCGUAUGGUGGCUUUCAUUAUUGAUUCUCUGUCAACAUCACGUUAGUUCUUUUCUAAAUCAGUUCUGUGGCUUGAACUUGAAAAGACCAUGAUGCGGAGUCCACAGGUUCAUUCUAAUUGCUCCUUUUCCUGGUAGACUCCACUGUGCCAGCCUGUCACUCAUCAAGACCAUUUGUCUGUGAACAGACUUAAUUAAGCACCUCAAAUCCAAUUUCUUUGAUCUUUUACACUAUUAAGGAAACACACUCAGUCCAUCAGCUAUGGAGAGUUUUCUAAAGAAAAACCUCCUGAAAACACCCACUGGUGUUAUUCUCCUCUGUUGAAAUAGAAAGUUCAAAAACAAGCAGGUGAAUUAGGAAGGGAAAAUAAAAUAAUUGGAGAGACAACAAAAAAAUUGUUAAAUCCUAAAUAUUCAGAAGAUUUAAGGAGUGAUUUACAGCACUUAUCAACUCUUGCACUUUUUUUCUCUCUCAAGAGAGAAAAAUAUCCAGUAGAGACUUGAUUUAAAUAUAAAUGUUUAGUUACCCUCCUUUCAGAAUUUAGCAGGCAAUUGCAUUUGUUUUUGUGAAAGAGGUAUGCACUUUCAGCAUCCUUUCUCACUGCUCAAAUAUCCAGCACAUUGAUAGAAAUGAUCAGGUGGAAACGCUUUAAAAAUAAAUAACCAGAGUUUCAUGAAAAUAAUUCAAGAGCUGCUUUUGGGCUUUUUUAUUAACAUUCUUGCCAUUUACACUGUAUUGACUUAAUUAUUUUCAGAUAAUAUUUACCUGUGUCUACUCUUAUAAUUGCAUCUUAUGCAAAACUGUUUGCAUUCAUAAAAAGAUCUUAUCUCGCAGCUUUGUGACAGAGAUUAUUCUGCACUCAAUGGCUACUCACUGCACCAUCAACCAGAAACCAAAUUCAUAAUAUAGAUUGUUGUGAGUAAUAACUUUUAAGGAUUUUUUAAUAAUUAAUUUAUUAAUAAUGAUUUCAUUCCACACUGGGAAAUAAGUUAUUUGUAUUUUAGAAAAUACUGCUGCUAAAGGUGUUUUUCUGAAAGAAGAUCACUAGCUAUAGUUCAUUCUAUUGUUGUCAGGUAUUUUUCAUGCCUUGUUAGCUAAUUUCCUCUUCUUACUGUCAGUUAAAUAUUUUCCAGAAUUUCAUGGUUAUGGAAUGGAGAUCAGACUUCUGCAGCCAUAUCUGAAGAGCAGCUCCUGUGUGACAAACACUUAACUGGUUAAAGAGUGUUUUACAACUCUACGUAAGGCUGAAUUAACCAGAUAAAUAUUCAGGCCUAAACAUGGUCAUGGUACAAAGUUGAUUUGAAACAGAUAAAAAUUGCUAAUUCGAGCUUUGUGAAAACUUUACACAUAUAUUUGUAUAUAAAAUAUUUAGUUCUCUCUUUAGUUUGAGACUAUUUCUUCUAUUAACAAUUCAUUAUGGUCUAUGUAACAACAUACGUAAAUGAAGUAGAAAUGUCUUCAGUGACUACUGGGAUUGCUCAGUCUGGAGAAGAGGCUCAGAGGAGACCUUAUUGCUCUCUAUAGCUACCUGAAGGGAGGAUGUCGUGAGCUGGAGGUCGGCCUCUUCUCUCAUGUAACUAGUGAUAGGACUAGAGGGAAUGGCCUCAAGUUACUCCAGGGAAGAGUCUGGCGGGACAUUAGGAAAUACUACUUUUCUGAAAGAGUCAUCAGGUGCUGGAAUGGGCUGCCACCCAGAGAGAUGGCGGAGUCACCAGCCCCGGAGGUGUUCAAGGAAUGUUUAGACGCUGUGUUGAGGGACAUAGUUUAGUGAGAACUAUUGGUGAUAGGUGGACAGUUGGACUGGAUGAUCUUGUAGGUCUUUUCCAAUCUUAGCGAUUCUAUGAUUCCAUACUUCAUUGUAUACUACGAUUAUAACUAUCCUCAGACAAAAAAAAAUUAUGUGGCAAAUGUAGUACAUUUCCUAUGUUCCUUUUAGAAGCACUUUUUUGUCCUUCAGAAAACAAAAAUCAGAUUUAUUUUAGAGUUUACUUUUCUUAAAUUCCUAUCAGAUAAGACAGAUAUUUAUGCUAGAAAGUAGUAUAGAGUUUAUUUAAUUACUUUUCCAGUUUCUAUUCUCUAUUCUAUUUCAGUUCUCUCUCAGAAUAUAAGGUACAUUUGGAAGUUUGAAGAACUGUAGGACAAAACUUAUGAUGAAAGCUGAAAACUGGCAUUAGAUUUUAUUAAAUAAAUCAUCACUGCAAGAAGGUAGAAAUAAUCCUGAGCAAUGCUGUAAAUUCCACGUAGUCUCAAUUUGUUCUCACUUCAUUUUGCAGUAGUAUUCACAUGUGCUAGCUCAUAAGAGUUGAUAUCACUGUUAGUUAUUGCUGUGCUUUCUUCUAAUUACCACCAAAUUGUGACCACAGCAAACUACAUAUGUUUUUUAAAAUAUCACUCUUUUAGUUCUUCAUCCUUGAUGCAAACAUGAUGAGAAAUGUAUCUAUGCUUAUUAGGUGUCUUACAGCAAGGCAAAGUUACCCAUAUUAAGUCUCAGGAGAUAGGACUUUCUUCUGACCCAGAUAUUUACAAAACUGGAAGUCAAAGUACAGCAACAUGAGCAAUUGGACAAGUCAUCAGUAAGAGCUAAUGAGAAACUGUGUAAAAUGACAUAAUUCUAUUGGAUACUGAGAUGGUAUCAUUAGUAUGUAUUAAAAGACUCAGAGAGGGUUAAAUUAAGAAAUGAUGUGCCACUUUUCAUUAUCCCAAGGAAGUCCUGUAUACAGUAUAUCAUUAGAAACUAUUUACUGAAGCAAAAUAUCAAGCACACAUUGUGUAUCUCUUGAAUCAAGAUGUCAUAAAUAAAUAUUUUCAAGACAAAAUAAGCAAACUUGCACUUCAGUAGGCCAUGAAUCUGACCUCUUUAUCAUGUACUUCAAAAUAAAAUCACUGACUUCUUUUUUUUAACAGCCUUUGCUCACCAUCCACUAGAAUUUUCUGACAAAAAUCACCACAAGGGCUCUGAGUUAAGGCGGGCUGAGCUAGCUGACACAACCAACUCUGAUUUCCAUUCAGUAUUCAGCUAGUUCCAGUCACCAAAGGGUCUUAAAUUAAGGUAACAUGAGAUAAGAGGGAAGAUCCUCACUGGGAUAACUAACUAAGAGAUUGGAAACAAAGAGCUUCAAUAAAUGGUCAAUUUUCUCAGUGAAUAGAAGGCACCAGUGGUAUCCCACAGGGAUCUUCACUGGGGCCAAAGCUGCUCGACAUGCUCGGGGCUGAUCAGGAGAACAGAAUGGAGAGCAGAUUAAGUUUGCUGUUGCUACCAAGUUUUCAUGGUAAGAAAAACAGAAACUGACUGCUAAAAAGAGAGUUGAAGAAAGACUCUGUGGCACUGAGUGAUUGGGGAUAAAAUGGCAGACGACAUUCAGACUACACAAAUGUAAAGUAAUGAACUUGGCAAAAAACAGCUCAUGCUGUGCCCAGUGAUUGAUUCUGAAUUCACUGCUACAUCAGACAAAAUAACAGCCUUAUGAAAAUAUCAGUUCAGUAGCUCAGGAAUCAUUAUCAGAGGAAAAUCUCAGAAAAUGUAAUGUUUUUGUGCAAAGUCAAUGCUAUGAUCAUAUCUUGAUUGUUAUGUAUAAUUCUGGUCCUUUCAUCUAGAAAAAGCACAGAGUAGAAUUUGAAAAAAAGGUGGACAAAGAUGAUCAAAGGUAACCAAAUAACUCACACAGAAGGGUGAUCUGUAAGAGCUGGGGCUCUCAAUCUAGAAAAGAGCCAACACAGAAGCACGUAAAAAUCACAGCAGACAAAUAGGAGAAUAAGGGAUAAACGAGCUGCCUCUUGCAUUGCAACAGGAAAGCCUCAGCUGGAAAUGAGCAUGUGGAAGUUCAACAUCAAAAACCAGACUGUGCACAGCUCAGUCAAACCUCUCUAAGCCUUGGCCAGUGAACAUCACUGAGUUGUGAAGAUUAUUCAUUUUAAAGAUCAAAGUGAACAAUUGCUUGAAGAAGCUCCAACUAAGUCCAUUAACAUUCCUUUUCCUGGGAAUCUCUUUUUGUACAAAGCUCAAAAUCCAGCCAAAAUCAUCAUGCAUUCAAGUGAUCAAUGAAUGAGCACUACAUACGGCAAUGAGGUAAAUGUUUGGGAAUGACAAAAACUAGGUAAGUAAGAAAAGGUACACUGCUCUCCUAUUAGCACAUUUCACAUUAGAGAAGGAUUCCAAGCAGCUUAAAAACAGAAAAUUAUGCCACAAUUUUGCAGAAUAAGAAAAAAUCACUGCAUUGCUAAGAGAAGUUUAAGUGUUGCAUGCAAAUCUUCACGACAAUUGAUUCGCAAUGAAGUUUAUAUUCAUUUCAUGAUCAUUUGCCACUUGAUUACAUGGAGUUAACUCACAGAGGAACUGCCUUUCCAAAGUUUCCCAGUCAAACUUGUAAUUAAUACUCCCCUCAUUUUGACUGAACUAUUUUGCUUUUUAAGAUGUAACUGUAGAUUUACAUCAGUGAGAGAAGAAGUGUCCAUAAAUAACCCAAAGGAGGACUUCUGAUUCAGGAAAUGGGAAGUAAAAUUCAGGAAGUGAUACCUUUUCCUCAUUGCUGCCGUAUAGACUUGAGGAAAACUCUAGCAUUACAACAGAGUUCCAAAGGGCAAAGAAGACUUGACCACAGGACUGCUUGAUUAUAGCAGAGAACACAUGCAGUAUGAGCUUUGGACAAGUAAGAGAUACUGCUUAUGCAUCUGCUGCCCAGAAAAAUUUACAGCACAAAUGUUGUAUGAAUCAGUGUGAUAGCUGCUGUCAGCUACAAAUAUCAUCUACAUAUUACGCACCUACCACAUGCAAAAUACUCCCACAAUGAUCUUAUUAAAGAGGCUGUGCCAUACAUCAAAAUAAUGUUAUACCUACAGCAGCCUGUAGGUUCUAAAAUAUGCCCUUCCUGCUUAUUUUGUACACAGCGAAAAAUGACACACUUGUGAGUAAACUUGCUCAUUAAUUCUGACAGAUAAUUCUGAAUACACAGUUGAAACCUCAACUUAAGUAUCUGAAAGAUGUAGAAAUAGAAGUGUUCCAAAUGUUAGUGAAAAAGAAGGAGUAAGAGGUAGAGGAACAGAGAUGACAACAUAAUUAUUUGAGCUGUGCAGAAUUUUAGAUGGGUAAUAAUUAACUGAGUGGUGAAUGGCUCAGAUAAGAGAGAGAAAAAUCUCACAACCUUUUUUUGAGUAGUGUCUGAAAAUAUCUGGAUCCAAAACAGAAGACUGUUUUGCAACAAUCACUCCUGAGUUUCCCUCUUCCACCAGCUUUUCCCAUCUACCUCAUUGUCUAAAAAGCAAAAGAUACUCUGGACACAACCAUGUAAGAACUGAGGAAUAGUCUGUGCUCAUUCACAGCCUUAAGGAGAUCAGUGUUCAUUGAGAUGGGAGGAAAAGAGAAUCUCCAGAGUUUUGUCUCAAAAAGGCCCAACAAACUGCAGAGCUGUGUGUCUGUGGCUGAGGUCCAGCCAGCCUCAGUGCCUCCGAGCAGCACAGGUGGGAGUUCCUCCACAUUUGAAGCUGUGGUCCCAUGUGCAAUGGCCCAGCUUCCCAGCAGGGCUGCUGCCCUUGGAACACCAACCAGCAGUAGGAGAAGCCUCACUGCCUCUCCAUUCCUUACUCAGAGCUAAGGAUGUCCAAGUCUGAGGCUGAAAGGGGGAAGCAGCAGUCCCAGUCCUGCCAAGCAUGAAGAUACAGGGCCCAGAAGAGAUGUCAGCACAACGCAUUGUCAAGGAGAUGAGUUUUAUCUUGCAUGUCAGAAACCAGCUGUGAUUACUCCAGGUGCUGUGAUCUGACAGAAUCAAAGCAUUUCCUAGAACAGCUUUGUGCCAUGAGCUGAAGCUGCUUCUCAGGAAUCAAGUAGAUUCCCCUCCUCCACUGUCCCUUUGCUAUAUAAAACCUGUGCAUAAUCCACUCUUUCCCAUAUUUUUCAUGCAAAGCCAUUUACAUUAUUUGUUGAAAGGCCAGGCAAACACAUACAGCAUGCAAUUCAGUACAGUAAAUGUGAAAACAUUUGCCAUUAAUUAUUGUAACCCCCAAUAAUUGUGAUCCCCGUGCGAAAAGGUAAAGAUAAACCAUUACCUACAAAGAAUAUUUCAUUUUCUAUGUAAGGAGGUGGCAGUGGAAGCUUGCUAGCAAUAAGUAGCCAGGACAGUAAUCUGAAAGUUUAUAUAUGUAGCUAGUGCUCCAGCCAGCAGAUAAUGCAGGCAAUUAGUGCUACUGUUAAUGUGCCUGCAUGCCUCAUUUCUGGAGAUGCAUGCUGAGCGCUCUCCUCUUAAGGUGGCUUCAGCAAGUGGUCCCUAUUUAACAGACACAGCUGUAUGCAAGGAAAGCAGAUCUUUCAGGAGGACAAGCCACAGUUUUAACUUGUUCUUGGUGUCAGAGCAGCAAUUGCAGUGAAAUGGAAGGAAAAAAACUAAACAAGUAUACAUCUACUAUAGACAGAUGGCUAAUAAAAAUUUGGGGAGCUCUUUCAAUACAGAAAUUGAGUAGUUUAAAAAGACACCUACAUAACAAAUGCUUGGACAUGUUGUCUCCUUUUAUAGAACACAAACAUUUGCCCUUUAACUCAGCAGCUCAACUAUUUGUUCCUUUGCUACUUAUUCUAUGCAAAGCUUCAAAACAGGCAUACAGCCAAUAUUUAACCUUUACUAUAUAACGUAAUGAACCCACCCAAACAAUAGGUGCAGCAAAUAUUAACAACUAAAGUGCCAUACUCAACUACAGCAAUGAAUUUUUAUGGUGAAGAUCCUGGAUUUCUGCCCUAUCAUGCCAGGUGUAGAGUAGUCCCUAUGAAUUAGCAGGUUGCAAUAACCCGUAAAUACGCAUCUCAGCCCGCUGAGGUUUAUGCACGCCUGCAAACAUCUGCUUUUGUUUUGUACUUCCAUCUGAAGACAAGAACAAAUAUUUCUAUUUCCUCUCAAAUGUUGACAGGUGAAUCAGUGUUUCAACAUUAAAGUAGGUCAGCCCACGUUGCAUUAUUCAGUGUAGCAGCAUGACACUUCUCAAUGAUAAAAUAUUGUCUAAUACUAAUUUGAAGUGAUACAAGCAUAUAUCUGCUUUCUGCAGAAGAAAAGUUGCUUUAAUUUGAAAUUGUCCCUCCUCCGUCUGGAAGGAAAACGUGAAGGAUUACAAAUCAAUUCUUAUUGCCUGCCUAUCCUCCUCAUCCUAGUCUAUAGCUGUGCAAGCCCACAAUUUGAGGACAAGCAAAUGUCUGCUCUGAGGAAGUACAAGUGACAGCUGAUGUACAGGGGUAGCAGCAGCUCCAAAAAAAGAAUUAAAGCUACCUCACAUGCAACAAACUUCUGGGAAUCUCCCCCAACCAUUUACAGAGUCACAAUCACAGCAUUUUCUAUUCCCUAAAGUGAUUUCUCUCCCCUCUCACAUUCUUUUCUGCAUAAUCUAGGGAAUUAUUCAUGAAUUAGGAAAAUCACUGUUUGUACACAAUUUCAAACUUUAUAUUAUGGCAUAGUCAGUCUAAAAUGUCACUUGUUGUGGCACUGUAGAAAAUAGACUCAAUAUGUGUUCAUUUAUCUUUAUGUUCAAGUAGAUACAUGAGGGCUGCUCUGAAAGCAUUGCAUUCCAUUUUAUGCUGUUUGCCCAUAAUAUCAGGGGCAGAUAUUGGUGGGAUGGGAGUAGAGGCUAAACCUUUCCACCAAUAUUCCAUUACAUUGUGUUGCUAUGUGACAGAUGGCAGCAGAGGGGCAAUCUGACAGAAUGGUGUCUGAUAUGGAAGAGCAUAUGGAUUAAAGGGGUGAUCAGGAGUGAAUGCCCCCCUGCAGAUAAAAUGGCACCCAAUGACAUUCGCCGAUGCUUGCUGAAUGGUUAUUGGGACCAAAUAGUGAACGUGAACAAAGUGAGGCAGUGGGUGGUGUGUUUCUGCAGUGAUGACACCAAUGUGAAAGACAAACCACGUUCCAUGCACAGCUGUCACACCAUGAAAUGAAGAGCAUUUCAGUCAGCUCAUCCACAUAAAUUUGUGGAUUAUGAUGAUGGAACUGUGUAUGGAGCUGAAUAUCAGCUCCAAUACAUUGGAAACUAUAGUGGAAACAUUGGAAUAUCGCAAAGUUUACACCAGGUGGGUCCUCCAAAUGCUCACAGAGGAUUAGAAAGAACACUGUAUGCAAGUUUGUCAAAACCUAUUGAACCAAUAUGAAGUAAAGGUUACAGUUUCCUGGAUCACAUCAUUACUGGUGAUGAGACCUGGUAUCAGCACUACAAGCCAGAGUCAAAACAGCACGCCCACAGAGUGGUGAUAUGUGACUUCACCAUCAAAGAAAAACUGCAGGAUGCAGCCCCUCAGUACAUAAAUUGAUGUGCACUGUUUUUGGGGAUAAGAAAGAGAUGAUCCUUCUGGAUUUCCUGGAAUUCAGACAAACCACCAACUCCAGCCACUAUGUUCUGAUGCUGACUAAGCUGAAGGCUCAAACUUCCAGAGGUAGGCCAGAGAACAAGACAAUCUUUCUUUCACAACAAGGUAAUGCCAGGCCCCAUUCCAGUUUGAACAACAUGGAGCACAUUGCCAAUCUUGGCUGGACCUACCACACCUACCAUAUUUGGUGCCUUCUAAAUUCCAUCUGUUUGGGCCAAUGAAAGGUGGACUGUGUGGGCAACAUUUUUCUAGCAGUGACACCAUCAUAGCAGCUGUGAAACAGUGGGUCACCUUCACUGGUCCAGAUUUCUACGUAUGUGGCAUGCAGGUUCUUGUUCAUCACUGGUGAAAAUGCAAAGCUAAUGGUAGUGACUGUUGAAAAAUAGUGCUUUGUAGCUGAGAAUUUGCUCUAUCAAAUAGUCAUUGUGUUCUUCAUAUCAGUUGUAGUUUCCAUGGAAAUAAAUAGGAAACAUUAUUUUUGGAGCAACCUAUGCACUAAAAAAAUAUACCUGAAAAUAUCCUUCAAAAUGAAACAGCCUAUGAUCAUAGUUGCAGCUGAUGAGAUGGAAGAAAAAUCCUAGAACCUGUUACUGUAAUAUUAGCAGAGAUAGUAGAUGUGGAUUUAUCCAAGGGUAGAGAUGUAAAAGUUAAGUCUUUCUCUAACAAUAAUGCCUCCUCCCCAUUAGCAGUAUACUCCUCUACAUCAGUUUUAUUUGCUUCUGGCCCUUACCAGAUACAACAGCAGACACUUCAGCUCUUCUCCAACACACAUCAUAAAACCUCUAAAAAGAUGAAGGGAUAAGAACUGGAUGGAGAGAAGGGGGCUAUGCUAAACAUACAACACUGGUUAACUCCCCAUAGAAAUCCAUGCUGAUGUAAACUGAUGUUAUUCUAUAAAAAUUAAAAUAACUGUU